RNAcentral lists this ribosomal RNA (497 nucleotides) under uncultured bacterium. RNAcentral's name for it is "partial 16S ribosomal RNA". It matches the Rfam family "Bacterial small subunit ribosomal RNA", at positions 28 to 507 of the family's 1533-position model. The record is from RNAcentral.
GAUGAACGCUGGCGGCGUGCCUAAUACAUGCAAGUCGAGCGAACAGAUGAGGAGCUUGCUCCUCUGACGUUAGCGGCGGACGGGUGAGUAACACGUGGAUAACCUACCUAUAAGACUGGGAUAACUUCGGGAAACCGGAGCUAAUACCGGAUAAUAUAUUGAACCGCAUGGUUCAAUAGUGAAAGACGGUUUUGCUGUCACUUAUAGAUGGAUCCGCGCCGCAUUAGCUAGUUGGUAAGGUAACGGCUUACCAAGGCAACGAUGCGUAGCCGACCUGAGAGGGCGAUCGGCCACACUGGAACUGAGACACGGUCCAGACUCCUACGGGAGGCAGCAGUAGGGAAUCUUCCGCAAAGGGCGAAAGCCUGACGGAGCAACGCCGCGUGAGUGAUGAAGGUCUUCGGAUCGUAAAACUCUGUUAUUAGGGAAGAACAAAUGUGUAAGUAACUAUGCACGUCUUGACGGUACCUAAUCAGAAAGCCACGGCUAACUACGUG